AUAACCUGGAGGAAGGUGGGGAUGACGUCAAAUCAUCAUGCCCCUUAUGCUUAGGGCUACACACGUGCUACAAUGGGUAGUACAGAGGGUUGCCAAGCCGUAAGGUGGAGCUAAUCCCUUAAAGCUACUCCCAGUUCGGAUUGUAGGCUGAAACUCGCCUACAUGAAGCUGGAGUUACUAGUAAUCGCAGAUCAGAAUGCUGCGGUGAAUGCGUUCCCGGGUCUUGUACACACCGCCCGUCACACCACGGGAGUUGGAGACGCCCGAAGCCGAUUAUCUAACCUUUUGGAAGAAGUCGUC
Molecule: ribosomal RNA, 300 nt
Filed under: Clostridioides difficile
Lineage: Bacteria; Bacillati; Bacillota; Clostridia; Peptostreptococcales; Peptostreptococcaceae
Description: bacterial SSU rRNA
Rfam family: Bacterial small subunit ribosomal RNA
Source: RNAcentral